GCUGGGCGUGGUGGCGCGCGCCUGUAGUCCCAGCUACUCGGGAAGCUGAGGCAGAAGAAUCGCUUGAACCCAGGAGGCGGAGGUUGCAGUGAGCUGAGAUCACACCAUUGUACUCCAGCCUGGGUGACAGAGCGAGACGCCGUCUCAA
RNAcentral lists this non-coding RNA (148 nucleotides) under Gorilla gorilla gorilla (western lowland gorilla). The record is from Rfam by way of RNAcentral. Lineage: Eukaryota; Metazoa; Chordata; Mammalia; Primates; Hominidae.